GACAACAAUCUAGAGAAUCAACACACCAUAGAAUUUUCGCUUAAUCAUAGAAAUUUUAUUAAUACAAGAAAUUUCACUUAGAUGGAAUACAAAUUACUUGUCACUAUAGUGAGACCAUGAAUAAGAAGACAAAGAUGCUUCAAUUUCAAACCAUCACAAUAAUAAUGAUAAUAAUAAAUAAUAACAAUCAAGUAUGAACGAAAUGUUCAUAGGCAAAAACAAAUAGCAAGUGCUAGAGAGAAUAUACCAAAAAGUACAAAAUCCACACACCACAUGAAGAAUAAAAAAUAUAUUGUGACACAACCAUAUUAAGUAGCAGUGUCUAUUUAAGCGCACACGAAACCCUUUGGAACUCCCUUUCCACAAUAGUUAAGUACCAAGCUCAAAUUAAUUGGAAGAUUAAGGUUAAUGCCUAAGACAUUAGCCUUAAGAGCAGUGCAAAGGCACACAGCAGCUUCAAGAUUAGCAAGACCAUCAAUGAGAGAGCAGCAUGGUGUCUUUGGUGGCUUACCAAGCUCAACAUUAAUCAAACCCAAUACAUCAGCACACACACCAAACUUGAUUGUGUCUCUAGGGCAUGUUGGGUUUUUGGAGGAAGGUGGAUGAUGAGGGUGUGAGUGGCCGUGAUCUUUGUGAGGUGGUGGGGGACAUGGAACAUAUGUGGAGCUUACCACAGUGAAAAAUAUGAUGUUGAGGCAAAGGAGCAUAGCAACCUUGGAAGCCAUUUGGAUUAAUGAUUAAGAUUAAGGUGCUAAUACUCUUAGUUUGAUUUGGUGUGUGAGUGAGUGAUGAUGUUUGAGAGAAUAAGAGGGGAUUUUAUAGGGAAGGAUUGGUGAAUUUGUUGAUUAUAAUAACUGGUUUAUUUGGAGGCCCAUGUGAGUUACUGAGGGAGCCCAUUGAGUGGAAACUUGAUUAGUCAUCAGCACAAGCUGGCAUAUCAACAUGGAUGAGGAAAUAUGCUCUUCAUUUGAGGGAGUACGAAUAUAUAUUUUAUGGUUAAGUUUGGA
RNAcentral lists this long non-coding RNA (1007 nucleotides) under Medicago truncatula (barrel medic). Its description in RNAcentral is "lncRNA gene25939". Lineage: Eukaryota; Viridiplantae; Streptophyta; Magnoliopsida; Fabales; Fabaceae. The record is from RNAcentral.